AUACGGAGGGUGCAAGCGUUAAUCGGAAUUACUGGGCGUAAAGAGUACGUAGGUGGUUUGUUAAGUCAGAUGUGAAAGCCCCGGGCUCAACCUGGGAACUGCAUUUGAAACUGGCAAACUAGAGUAUGGUAGAGGGGGGUAGAAUUUCUAGUGUAGCGGUGAAAUGCGUAGAUAUUAGAAGGAAUACCAGUGGCGAAGGCGGCCCCCUGGACCAAUACUGACACUGAGGUACGAAAGCGUGGGUAGCAAACGGUAUUAGAAACCCUAGUAGUCC
This 274-nucleotide ribosomal RNA is filed under the name uncultured bacterium. RNAcentral describes it as "partial 16S ribosomal RNA". It matches the Rfam family "Bacterial small subunit ribosomal RNA", at positions 523 to 796 of the family's 1533-position model. The record is from RNAcentral.